Molecule: unclassified non-coding RNA, 240 nt
Filed under: soil metagenome
Description: partial contains 5.8S ribosomal RNA, internal transcribed spacer 2, and large subunit ribosomal RNA
Source: RNAcentral
AACGCACGAGACCUGCGGACCUGCGGAAGGAUCAUUACCGAGUUUACAACUCCCAAACCCAAUGUGAACGUUACCAAACUGUUGCCUCGGCGGGAUCUCUGCCCCGUGUGCGUCGCAGCCCCGGACCAAGGCGCCCGCCGGAGGACCAACCAAAAACUCUUUUUGUAUACCCCCUCGCGGGUUUUUAUAUAUCUGAGCCUUUCUCGGCGCCCCUUCGUGGGCGUUUCGAAAAUGAAUCAA